AUGAACCAUGUCUUUGUUGAUCCUGAGAGUAAAAAAGAAGUAGAUGGCCCCUUACUUCAGCAGAAUGAAGAUGCAAGAAAAGAACAAGAGUCAGCUCUUGGUGUUUACCAAAAGAUUCCAUCUGAAACUGUGUGCUGUUCUGACACCAACAACAACAGCAGUCAAGAAUGCAGCAAUUCUUCACUGUCCCCUCAUUUAAAUGAACUAAUUGACUCAUGUGUACAAGGGACAUUCAAGGAAGAUGUUAAUGUACAUCCAUCUGGAGCAAUGGCUAAAUCACUAUUACAGAGUGAGGAACUGUUUGACUCUGGCAGUCCUGGUUCACUGUCUUUACUUAUGGCCAUAAUCCAUAAUCAAGGAUUAACCUGCAGUCCAGAGGAUUCAGAGAAAGAUGAACCAUUAGAGGAAUCAGACACAGCCAACAAAAAACUGCCAGAUACUAAACCAUCAGAAGACCCACUUAUGGCCCAGUCAUUGUAUUGUGAGCUCCAACAACUACAGGGAACUUUGCCAUCAACCAGCCUUGCCAUUGAGUCUCUCCAUGUGGAUAGUAUCACUGGCUGUUCAGAAACCUGUAUAAAUACACCCAAUAAUGACUCGACACAAAUCAGCAUUCAAGAACUGCAAUCUCCUAAAACGCUGCCCCUAAAGAAGCCAGUAAAUCAGGACGGAGAAACAGGCAUGAUCACCAUUCAAAACCAGCAGGAGGUGGUAGAGAUAAAAGAGACAGCACUGAGCACUAAUCAGACAAAAAUGAGUAAGAGCUACAGUGAAGAUGUUUGCAUGGAAUGUGAAAAGCUGGAAUGUGACACAUUGAUUUUAAAUGUGACAGAUCUCAUUGGCGGACCUGAAGCAGAACCACAUUCUUCUUGGAGGGGGGUAGUUAAUGAGCCAGUGAGUGACGUUCUCAAAGACCAUGCCAGUACAUGUCCUGCUUCACCCACUUUUUUCUGUGACAGAGUAGAUGUUAAACAGCUUGAAAAUUCUCACAUGGCUGAUUGCAUUGUUGUCGAGAAUCAUAUAGUUAGAGAUUCAGGAGAUUCUGACUGCACUGUUGUGCAUGAACUCUUUGGUUCUGAAGAAAGGCAUAGUGAAAAGGAAGCAGAGAACAUAGAGGCUACACCUGACACAGUGGCUUCAGAGAGUGUUUUGAGGCUGUUUUUACCUGAAAAUUUGUGUACACAACCUUCACUGGAUAACAAUGAAGAAACGGCACAUGAUCCACAAAUAGCUCAGGAAAUCAAAAGGCUCCUAAACACAGGUGAACUAAAAAGGCAGAAAAAGAAAUUGAAACAGAAGAAAAAUCCGCUUAGACAAGGACGAAAUGUCGCAGAUGGAUUGAAUACAGGAUCAAAGAGAUGUUUUAAAAUUACUCAGAGAAAUCUUCACAAGCGAAAUAGUGUAGGAGAAACUCAGCUUCACCGGGCGUGCAUCAGAGGAGACCUGCAAAUGGUCAAAGUCUUGAUAGAAGCUGGAAGCAAUGUUAAUGUAUCAGAUCAUGCAGGUAGGAAAAUCCUUGCCUUGGUAAGUGUACAUCAUUUCCUUUGA
Molecule: long non-coding RNA, 1548 nt
Organism: Cyprinus carpio (common carp)
Lineage: Eukaryota; Metazoa; Chordata; Actinopteri; Cypriniformes; Cyprinidae
Source: Ensembl